Molecule: long non-coding RNA, 793 nt
Filed under: Phoenix dactylifera (date palm)
Lineage: Eukaryota; Viridiplantae; Streptophyta; Magnoliopsida; Arecales; Arecaceae
Description: long non-coding RNA (PDAC_LNC018182)
Source: RNAcentral
GAUAGAGUACUAUAGCAUAAAACAGAAUAUUUUUUUGGAUGCACUUCAUUUGAAAAAAAUCUAUAAGAGUUUCUGAAAGUAACAUUCCUUCAGCUUGCUUGGUUGAUCUAUGAGAAAUCAUAAACAAGAAACCUUCUGUCUUACCCCUAAUCCCCUCACAAACUCUUCAACUCAACCCCUCUCCCAUCCUCAUUUGCAAGUCCAGCUUUCUUUCCGACCGCCACUUCGACCCAUUUGUCCCUGCCAACAAGCUCAUAGAGGACCUAGAUAUCUAUGCCUCCUCCAUCUCCCUUCACAUGCAUGAUAAUGCUCCAAACAUCGAAACCUGCAAACCCAAAAAAGAAACUAUUCUUUCUACUCUCUCACGCUGUUCACAGCAAAUUUCAGAACCUGCCAAACGCAAUAUGAGAUAAGCCAUCUCGACCAGCUUAUAUCCCCGCAAGGCCAACUCUAUACUUUCGCCAACCCAACCGACAACCUGCUUCAAUCUUCAACAGUACAACUCAAAAUUAGAGAUCUAGAUCCCACAAACUCAGAUACCUUUUUUGUGCCCUAGAAUCAAACUUGAAGCCCUAACAACAUCUAACGAGAUCAAUUUUACAGCCGGGGGUGGAACAUAACUUGGACCGCAUCCUGCAAUCAAAAUUUCAGACGCAUCUGCAGCUCAUACACAGCCAACCUGAAAAUAAAUCACUCUCGGAAUUUAAUCGGUCUUCUCACAACCAGGAAAACGCCUCAUCCGGCUCUAAACCAGAAAUCGAAGGACAGGAAUUUUACAAAUAGAAAAUCUUAA